CAGCCGCCGCGGUAAUACGUAGGGUGCGAGCGUUAAUCGGAAUUACUGGGCGUAAAGCAUGCGCAGGCGGUUGUGUAAGACAGGUGUGAAAUCCCCGGGCUUAACCUGGGAACUGCGCUUGUGACUGCACAGCUAGAGUAUGGCAGAGGGGGGUGGAAUUCCACGUGUAGCAGUGAAAUGCGUAGAGAUGUGGAGGAACACCGAUGGCGAAGGCAGCCCCCUGGGCCAAUACUGACGCUCAUGCACGAAAGCGUGGGGAGCAAACAGGAUUAGAUACCCCUGUAGUCCCUGUCUCUUAUAC
Molecule: ribosomal RNA, 301 nt
Filed under: uncultured bacterium
Lineage: Bacteria
Description: partial 16S ribosomal RNA
Rfam family: Bacterial small subunit ribosomal RNA
Source: RNAcentral